GACGAACGCUGGCGGCGUGCUUAACACAUGCAAGUCGAACGGAAAGGCCCUGCUUUUGUGGGGUGCUCGAGUGGCGAACGGGUGAGUAACACGUGAGUAACCUGCCCUUGACUUUGGGAUAACUUCAGGAAACUGGGGCUAAUACCGGAUAGGAGCUCCUGCUGCAUGGUGGGGGUUGGAAAGUUUCGGCGGUUGGGGAUGGACUCGCGGCCUAUCAGCUUGUUGGUGGGGUAGUGGCUUACCAAGGCUUUGACGGGUAGCCGGCCUGAGAGGGUGACCGGCCACAUUGGGACUGAGAUACGGCCCAGACUCCUACGGGAGGCAGCAGUGGGGAAUAUUGCACAAUGGGCGGAAGCCUGAUGCGGCAACGCCGCGUGCGGGAUGACGGCCUUCGGGUUGUAAACCGCUUUCGCCUGUGACGAAGCGUGAGUGACGGUAAUGGGUAAAGAAGCACCGGCUAACUACGUG
Molecule: ribosomal RNA, 468 nt
Filed under: uncultured bacterium
Lineage: Bacteria
Description: partial 16S ribosomal RNA
Rfam family: Bacterial small subunit ribosomal RNA
Source: RNAcentral